UACGUAGGGGUCGAGCGUUGUCCGGAGUUACUGGGCGUAAAGCGCGUGCAGGUGGCUCAUUACGCCCGGCGUGAAAGCCCCCGGCUCAACCGGGGAGGGUCGUCGGGGACGGGUGAGCUUGAGGGUAGCAGGGGCUGGUAGAAUUCCCGGUGUAGUGGUGAAAUGCGUAGAGAUCGGGAGGAAUACCCGUGGCGAAGGCGGCCAGCUGGGCUACACCUGACACUGAGACGCGAAGGCGUGGGGAGCGAACGGG
RNAcentral lists this ribosomal RNA (253 nucleotides) under uncultured bacterium. RNAcentral describes it as "partial 16S ribosomal RNA". It matches the Rfam family "Bacterial small subunit ribosomal RNA", at positions 524 to 776 of the family's 1533-position model. The record is from RNAcentral.